This is a long non-coding RNA of Mustela erminea (ermine), 302 nucleotides long. RefSeq lists it as uncharacterized. The transcript is spliced from 3 exons. Lineage: Eukaryota; Metazoa; Chordata; Mammalia; Carnivora; Mustelidae. The record is from RefSeq and is a predicted model, not a curated record.
GAAACUGAGUGCAUCUAUAGACAAUACGCUUCCACCGUUUGAAACCGAGAACCCCUACUACUACAUCCUCCCACAGCCUCUCCCGCCUCCUCCAGCCAGAGGCUGCUUGCUGUCCGUGCAGGAAAGCGCCUUGAAGACCAUCUCUUCCAAAGCUCCUGCUUUAGUGUUAUGUGGGACCCCAAGAGUCUACAGAUACCUUAGAGACUCUGCAGAGUAGGAUGGAGCCUAUGCAUGAAUAAAUGACCUGAGGUGGGCCCACCCUCUACGUCCCCACCAGAAAUCUCUGCAGGGAGAGAAUUUCA